Molecule: ribosomal RNA, 186 nt
Filed under: Triticum aestivum (bread wheat)
Lineage: Eukaryota; Viridiplantae; Streptophyta; Magnoliopsida; Poales; Poaceae
Description: partial small subunit ribosomal RNA
Source: RNAcentral
AUGUACUCACUCCGGUCCUUUUUAGUCUGCAUACAAGUUCUAUCUGCAGUCAAAACAUGGCUUCUUCAUCUUGGCAUAACCGGAACUAGUCACUUCACGUACUCCAUAUUCUUCUUCAGAGGAGGAUGUUACUGUUGUGCAAAGACAAGAGGACAGCUAAAUGCUAGCAUCUCUAUUUGCUCGUAA